This is a long non-coding RNA of Saccostrea cuccullata (small rock oyster), 1388 nucleotides long. RefSeq lists it as uncharacterized. The record is from RefSeq and is a predicted model, not a curated record. Lineage: Eukaryota; Metazoa; Mollusca; Bivalvia; Ostreida; Ostreidae. The transcript has 3 exons.
UAUCGAGCUUUAUUUACAAGUUCAAGUUACAUAUACGGACUUAUAUUAUUGGAUGACAUUUCUAUCAGCAGCGGGAUUUGUGAUAAUUGUGGACCAGAUGAAUUCAGCUGCAAAAAGGGCCGUGACGAAUGUAUUCCCUUUAAAAGUGUUUGUGAUUCAAAGCCAGACUGUUUGUUGGGAGAAGAUGAAUUAAAUUGUAAUUUGGGCGGUAUGAAUAAUCAAUGUACGUCGAAUUUAACAAAUAAUUUCAGCGAUACACCCACGUUGACAGAGAUCAACCUAGACAUUAUAAAAAAAUUCAAAAACAGGGGCCGUUAUAUACCGGACUGGCAUUUCUGCGAGGACGGACAAAGAUGUACAGUAGAUGUUUCAGGAAAAUGUUAUUUGUUUUGUCCUGUGAAUUGUUCUUGUAAGGGUUUGACACUAAAUUGUUCUUCUGCUCAAAAUAUACCUGUUUACGCUACAUCCCUUACACUUUAUAGUUUACAACAUGUACAGUUACAUUUCAGGGGACAAGAAUUGAAUUUGAAAAAAAUUCAAAUUACUUCCUCCAAUAUCGGUUUCUUAAAUAUCGAAAAAAAAAGCUGUCAAUUUGCGUGAACUCAAAAUGAAAAACUGUGAAAUUACUCAAAUGGCGUUCAUUGAUGAUAGCAAUGACUUUUUACGCUUAUUAGAAAUAGUGUAUAGCACGUUAACAAACAUAAAAUUUUCCGAAAAAUUCCAUCAAUAUUUUGAAUUGAACAUUUAUAAUAGCUCACUGAUCUCGACAGUGUCAUUUCCUAUUAAAAUGCUUGUCGGAAACAAAGUAAAUAUGAUACAAACCCGGGGGUUUCUGGAUCUCAUCCAAAGAUUUCAUCAUCUGGUCGUAAACUUCAGUUUCUGCAAUUUAACGCAACUACCAAAAUCUUAUUUAGAAACAAUCACUUUAGAUCUUCGUCAGAACAAUUUAAGGAAUUGCAGAAUUCUGUUUUUUACUCAAAUUCUACACCUACAACAUAAUGAAUUUGAAUCCAUUGUUGUAUUUGUUGACACAAGGCAAUCCGAGGCUCGACUUCAAUACCUCGACCUCUCUUACAACAGAAUUGGACAGAUAGGAAGGAGCAAUCUUGCAGAUCUACCGAAUCUUCUCUACCUAAAGCUAAACAAAAACAUCAUUGCUUUUAUCGACGAAAAUGCGUUUUCAAAACUGGCUAAACUUAUUCAUUUGGAUCUGUCAAAUAAUUAUCUAGAUUCUUUAAAAAGAAGUCAUUUCAUGCGUCUUUCUAGUUUGCAAUUCCUCGACCUUCAGAACAACAACUUGAAGGUGGUAGAGGGAAUGUUUGAUGGUCUCGUUAGUAUUCGGUUACUGUCUGUGGAUUAUUUCACGUUAUGUUGUGCUCAGCCCAAGG